GCUUGCUUCCGUUCGGUUAGCGGCGGACGGGUGAGUAACACGUGGGCAACCUGCCCGUAAGACCGGGAUAACUUCGGGAAACCGGAGCUAAUACCGGAUAACACCGAAGACCGCAUGGUCUUCGGUUGAAAGGCGGCUUUGGCUGUCACUUACGGAUGGGCCCGCGGCGCAUUAGCUAGUUGGUGAGGUAACGGCUCACCAAGGCGACGAUGCGUAGCCGACCUGAGAGGGUGAUCGGCCACACUGGGACUGAGACACGGCCCAGACUCCUACGGGAGGCAGCAGUAGGGAAUCUUCCGCAAUGGACGAAAGUCUGACGGAGCAACGCCGCGUGAGCGAAGAAGGUCUUCGGAUUGUAAAGCUCUGUUGUUAGGGAAGAACAAGUACCGUUCGAAUAGGGCGGUACCGUGACGGUACCUA
This 420-nucleotide ribosomal RNA is filed under the name uncultured Bacillaceae bacterium. RNAcentral describes it as "bacterial SSU rRNA". It matches the Rfam family "Bacterial small subunit ribosomal RNA", at positions 78 to 481 of the family's 1533-position model. Lineage: Bacteria; Bacillati; Bacillota; Bacilli; Caryophanales; Bacillaceae. The record is from RNAcentral.